CUACGGGUCGCUGCAGUGGGGAAUAUUGCACAAUGGGCGCAAGCCUGAUGCAGCCAUGCCGCGUGUAUGAAGAAGGCCUUCGGGUUGUAAAGUACUUUCAGCGGGGAGGAAGGGAGUAAAGUUAAUACCUUUGCUCAUUGACGUUACCCGCAGAAGAAGCACCGGCAACUCCGGUGCCAGCAGCCGCGGUAAUACGGAGGGUGCAAGCGUUAAUCGGAAUUACUGGGCGUAAAGCGCACGCAGGCGGUUUGUUAAGUCAGAUGUGAAAUCCCCGGGCUCAACCUGGGAACUGCAUCUGAUACUGGCAAGCUUGAGUCUCGUAGAGGGGGGUAGAAUUCCAGGUGUAGCGGUGAAAUGCGUAGAGAUCUGGAGGAAUACCGGUGGCGAAGGCGGCCCCCUGGACGAAGACUGACGCUCAGAUGCGAAAGCGUGGGGAGCAAACAGGAUUAGAUACCCGAGUAGUC
This 464-nucleotide ribosomal RNA is filed under the name uncultured bacterium. RNAcentral's name for it is "partial 16S ribosomal RNA". It matches the Rfam family "Bacterial small subunit ribosomal RNA", at positions 339 to 795 of the family's 1533-position model. The record is from RNAcentral.